UACAGAGGGGGCAAGCGUUGUUCGGAAUUACUGGGCGUAAAGGGCGCGUAGGCGGCCGCCUAAGUCAGACGUGAAAUCCCUCGGCUCAACCGGGGAACUGCGUCUGAUACUGGAUGGCUUGAGUUCGGGAGAGGGAUGCGGAAUUCCAGGUGUAGCGGUGAAAUGCGUAGAUAUCUGGAGGAAUACCGGUGGCGAAGGCGGCAUCCUGGACCGGCAUUGACGCUGAGGAGCGAAAGCCAGGGGAGCAAACGGG
RNAcentral lists this ribosomal RNA (253 nucleotides) under uncultured bacterium. RNAcentral describes it as "partial 16S ribosomal RNA". It matches the Rfam family "Bacterial small subunit ribosomal RNA", at positions 524 to 776 of the family's 1533-position model. The record is from RNAcentral.